GAAAACAACAGAGCAAUCAGCAGUGAUUAGUAGAGUUUAACAGCUGGGGGUGGUUAAGGAGAGAAGCAGUCAAAGAGAGCCCUGCCCAAACCACUGUCCUCUCAGGGAGAACGUGGGCAUACCUAAGGCUUUGCACCCUGAAGUGCAACAUCAGUGGCUUCACGUUUCUGGGGGAAAGAAAUAUACUUCAUUAAAAUAACUUAACCAGUCACUAAACAAAUUAAAAAGCAAAUAACAAUAAGAAGCCCAGGAGAGGACGGACCAGUAUCCAGAGGUUGCUAUAAUAUACUUAUCUAGAAUGUCGAUGUUCCAACAAAAAUUACAAGACAUGUAAAGAAACAAGAAUGUACGAGACAUAUACUGGAAACAAGAAAAAUCAGGAAACAGAUACUGCCUGCAAGAGCAACCAGAUGUCAGAUAUAACAGAAAAAGAUUUCAACGUGGCCAUUAUAAAUAUAUUCAAAGAACGAAGGAAUAAUGAUUAAGAAAGUAAUGGAAAGUAUGACAACAAAGUCUCAUCAAACUGAGAGCGUUAAUAAACAAAAGAGAACCAAAUAGAAAUUCUUCAGUUGAAGAGUACAAUAACUGAAAUUAAAAAAAAAAUCACUAGAAACCUCAAUGGUAGGUUUAAUCGGCAGAAGAAAGAAUUCGUGAUUUUGAAGAUAGACCAACAGAGAUUGUACAAUCUGAACAACAAAGAUAGAAAAGAACGAAGAAAAAUGAAAAACCCUCAGAGAAAUGCAGGGCAUCAUUAAUCACACCAACACAUAUUUUAUUGGUUAGUUUAAUGAGUUAACUUGGCUAGGCAUUAGUACCAAAUUACUAGUUCAAGCGGUAAUCUACAUGUUGCUAUGAGGGUGUUUUGUAAAUGUAGUUAACAUCUACAACCAGUUGUCCUUAAGUAAAGGAGAUUACUCUUAAUAAUGUGGGUAGGUAUAAUCCAAUCAGUUAAUAGGCCUUAAGAGCAAAAUCCUAGGUUUCCUUAAAAGAACUUCUGCUUCAAAACAGCAAAACCACCUCCUUUCUGAGAGUUUGCAGGAGAUGAUGGAAGCACAGCUGCAUUGGGCUAAGGAAAUUACUCCAAAUGGUAAAUCAAAUCCGCAGGAAGAAAUGAAGUGAUUAAGAAAUGAUGAAAAAGAAAGUUAAAAUAACAAAAGCUAUAAAUUCUUUAGUUGCUUUCUUUGUGCAAAGGUGUCAGCCUGUCUCUAACCUCAAGGACAGAGCCUGAUGAAGCCACUACAGUUGUUGCCACAUGGUCUUGCUGUUGAACACAUCC
RNAcentral lists this long non-coding RNA (1276 nucleotides) under Equus caballus (horse). Its description in RNAcentral is "lncRNA (ENSECAG00000060217.1)". The record is from RNAcentral. Lineage: Eukaryota; Metazoa; Chordata; Mammalia; Perissodactyla; Equidae.